CAGGAGGGAGGGCUUGAACCGUAGUUUCAUGCUCAGAAUAAUUAGAGGUUUUUUUAUUCUUUCAUUGAUGCUCAUUCAGGCUUUCUGGACAAAAACAACGACCUUCUCUUCAGGAAUCUGAAAGAGGCUAUGUGCAUGUCUGAGAACAAGAUCCUGACGCAGUGUUUUGACCGAGACGAGCUGAGUGACAGGAAGCGUCCUGACACGGCAGCCACCCAGUUCAAAGCCAGUCUGGCCAAACUGAUGGAGAUCCUGAUGUCCAAGGAGCCGUCCUACAUCCGCUGCAUCAAGCCCAAUGACUCCAAGCAGGCGGGUAAGCUGCUCCCCUUCCUCUUUCCUCC
Molecule: long non-coding RNA, 341 nt
Organism: Cyprinodon variegatus (sheepshead minnow)
Lineage: Eukaryota; Metazoa; Chordata; Actinopteri; Cyprinodontiformes; Cyprinodontidae
Exons: 3
Source: RefSeq, a predicted model, not a curated record